UAGAUAGAUACACACAGGGCUGAUAGCUG
RNAcentral lists this non-coding RNA (29 nucleotides) under Cricetulus griseus (Chinese hamster). The record is from RNAcentral. Lineage: Eukaryota; Metazoa; Chordata; Mammalia; Rodentia; Cricetidae.